Molecule: ribosomal RNA, 252 nt
Filed under: uncultured bacterium
Lineage: Bacteria
Description: partial 16S ribosomal RNA
Rfam family: Bacterial small subunit ribosomal RNA
Source: RNAcentral
UACGUAGGGGGCGAGCGUUAUCCGGAUUCAUUGGGCGUAAAGCGCGCGUAGGCGGCCCGCUAAGCGGGACCUCUAACCUGGGGGCUCAACCUCCAGCCGGGUCCCGAACUGGCGAGCUCGAGUGCGGUAGGGGCAGGCGGAAUUCCCGGUGUAGCGGUGGAAUGCGCAGAUAUCGGGAAGAACACCGAUGGCGAAGGCAGCCUGCUGGGCCGACACUGACGCUGAGGCGCGAAAGCUAGGGGAGCGAACAGG